This 904-nucleotide ribosomal RNA is filed under the name uncultured Pelotomaculum sp. RNAcentral describes it as "SSU rRNA". It matches the Rfam family "Bacterial small subunit ribosomal RNA", at positions 8 to 916 of the family's 1533-position model. The record is from RNAcentral. Lineage: Bacteria; Bacillati; Bacillota; Clostridia; Eubacteriales; Desulfotomaculaceae.
AGAGUUUGAUCCUGGCUCAGGACGAACGCUGGCGGCGUGCUUAACACAUGCAAGUCGAACGGAGUUUAAGAGGAAGCUUGCGAAUCUUAAACUUAGUGGCGGACGGGUGAGUAACGCGUGGAUAACCUGCCUACAUGCCUGGGACAACACCGGGAAACUGGUGCUAAUACCGGAUACGCUCAUCUUUAUACAUGUAGAGAUGAGGAAAGGAGAAAUCCGCAUAUAGAUGGGUCCGCGUCCCAUUAGCUAGUUGGGGGUGUAAUAGACCACCAAGGCGACGAUGGGUAGCCGGCCUGAGAGGGUGGACGGCCACACUGGAACUGAGACACGGUCCAGACUCCUACGGGAGGCAGCAGUGGGGAAUCUUCCGCAAUGGGCGAAAGCCUGACGGAGCAACGCCGCGUGAGUGAAGAAGGCCUUCGGGUCGUAAAACUCUGUCUUCAGGGAAGAAAAAAAUGACGGUACCUGAGGAGGAAGCCCCGGCUAACUACGUGCCAGCAGCCGCGGUAAAACGUAGGGGGCGAGCGUUGUCCGGAAUUACUGGGCGUAAAGGGCGCGUAGGCGGUUAUUUAAGUCAGAGGUGAAAACUACCGGCUCAACCGGUAGCCUGCCUUUGAAACUGGAUGACUUGAGGGCAGGAGAGGGGAGUGGAAUUCCCAGUGUAGCGGUGAAAUGCGUAGAUAUUGGGAGGAACACCAGUGGCGAAGGCGGCUCUCUGGCCUGUUUCUGACGCUGAGGCGCGAAAGCGUGGGGAGCAAACGGGAUUAGAUACCCCGGUAGUCCACGCCGUAAACGAUGGGUGCUAGGUGUAGGAGGUAUCGACCCCUUCUGUGCCGUAGUUAACACAAUAAGCACCCCGCCUGGGGAGUACGGCCGCAAGGUUGAAACUCAAAGGAAUUGACGG